CUAACCUACGGGAGGCAGCAGUGGGGAAUAUUGCACAAUGGGGGAAACCCUGAUGCCGCAACGCCGCGUGAAGGAAGACGGUUUUCGGAUUGUAAAAUUCUUUUCUUAGUGAAGAAGCAAGUGACGGUAGCUAAGGAAUAAGCAUCGGCUAACUACGUGCCAGCAGCCGCGGUGAUACGUAGGAUGCGAGCGUUAUCCGGAAUUAUUGGGUGUAAAGGGAGCGCAGGCGGGACUGCA
This 237-nucleotide ribosomal RNA is filed under the name uncultured bacterium. RNAcentral's name for it is "partial 16S ribosomal RNA". It matches the Rfam family "Bacterial small subunit ribosomal RNA", at positions 332 to 585 of the family's 1533-position model. The record is from RNAcentral.